CAGAGGAAGAACAAUGAUUCCAAGCACCACCCUCCUUUUGAAGCUUCCAGUCUGUUAUUCAAUCUCAAUCUGCAUGACAGUGAUCUCCAGCCUUGUCCACAUCAACACUCACACCUGUGUUAACGAAAGAAUAACUGACAUGAUGUCAGCUGGUCCUUUUGUGGCAAAAAGGAAAUACAGUGGAAAUGUUUUUGGGUGAUUCAGUUCAUUUGCAUGGCAAAGAGGGACUUUUCAUCUGAUCACUCUUCAUAACAUUCUGGAGUAUAUGCAAAUUGCCAUCAUACAAACUGAGGCAGCACACAUUGUGAAAAUGUAUAUUUGUGUCAUUCUCAAAACUUUUGGCCACGACUGUAGGGUAGGCCUACUGUUUGGAUGGGUCUGUGUCAAGGGUGUGUGUGUGUGUGUGUGUGUGUGUGUGUGUGUGUGUGUGUGUGUGUGUGUGUGUGUGUGUGUGUGUGUGUGUGUGUGUGUGUGUGUGUGUGUGUGUGUGUACACAUGCAUGCGUGUAUGAGUAGUUACAUGUACAUGUAUGUGUAUGGGUGUGUGUUUGAGGUUGGAGAGGGUGUGUAUUUGCUUGAGCGACAUGGAGACCUGGAAACUUCUAGAUGGAAAGAAGAAGAGGGAGAGCCUGGCGGACUGAUGACAGACUCUGGCUUUCCCAUAUCACUUUGCCCUGAGGCCUGAUACUGUACCUCCAGAAGACAACCCGAGACCUGCUACUUCCAGAAGACAACCAACCUGAGGUCUGACACCUCCAGAAGACAACCAACCUGAGGCCUGAUACCUCCAGAAGACAACCAACCUGAGGCCUGAUACUUCCAGAAUACAUCUAACCUGAGGCCUGAUACCUCCAGAAGACAUCCAACCUGAGGCCUGAUACUUCCAGAAGCCAUCCAACCUGAGGCCUGAUACUUCCAGAAGACAUCUAACCUGAGGCCUGAUACUUCCAGAAGACAUCCAACCUGAGGCCUGUUACCUCCAAAAGACAUCCAACCUGAGGCCUGUUACCUCCAGAAGACAUCUAACCUGAGGCCUGAUACUUCCAGAAUACAUCUAACCUGAGGCCUGAUACCUCCAGAAGACAUCUAACCUGAGGCCUGAUACCUCCAGAAGACAUCCAACCUGAGGCUUGAUACCUCCAGAAGACAACCAACCAACCCCUGGGGGGGGAUUUUUUUGGUUUGCCCGUGCUGCAGAUCGCUAUAUUGGUCCGCUAAUACAGGACUAUUAAAGGCCCAGUGCAUUACUUUUGUGAUCUUUUUUAUAUAAUAAUAAUUGAUAAUAAAUAUAUGUGAUUUUUA
Molecule: long non-coding RNA, 1301 nt
Organism: Oncorhynchus masou masou (cherry salmon)
Lineage: Eukaryota; Metazoa; Chordata; Actinopteri; Salmoniformes; Salmonidae
Exons: 2
Source: RefSeq, a predicted model, not a curated record